GCGCCCGUAGCUCAGUUGGAUAGAGCAGCAGAUUUCUAAUCUGCGGGCCGCAGGUUCGAGUCCUGCCGGGCGUA
This 74-nucleotide transfer RNA is filed under the name Planctomycetaceae bacterium. RNAcentral's name for it is "tRNA-Arg". It matches the Rfam family "tRNA". From Rfam's summary of the family: Transfer RNA (tRNA) molecules are approximately 80 nucleotides in length. Lineage: Bacteria; Pseudomonadati; Planctomycetota; Planctomycetia; Planctomycetales; Planctomycetaceae. The record is from RNAcentral. RNAcentral also lists the same sequence under 1 other name.